UGGUAGGGUGCCGAAGUCGGUCCGGCGAGUGGAGCGUUGCGUCCAGUUGUCUGGCACCUCGACGACCCGCAACUGGCGAGCACCAUAAUACAACGUCUUGAUAUUGAAGAUCCAUGAUUCAUAGCACAGAAAGGUAAAAAACUGGCUGGGAAUGCAUUGUAUCCGCAACAAAAAUCUGCUUGACGGUGAUGUUUGUGAUGAGAACAUUGUCAUAUUUCUACCGCGGCAAAAAUCAGUCAAUUUAUUCGUAGAUACUGUAGAGAAUAUUAUUACACUCGGUAAGAUUAAUUGUCAAAAAUGUAUAAUGAAAAAUUAAAAGGAAAUUAUAUACUUCAUUUAUAAGCA
Molecule: long non-coding RNA, 345 nt
Organism: Topomyia yanbarensis
Lineage: Eukaryota; Metazoa; Arthropoda; Insecta; Diptera; Culicidae
Exons: 2
Source: RefSeq, a predicted model, not a curated record